CAAAAAGACAAAUCUCUGAAUCAAAAGGAGUCUGUCUCUUCACAUGAAUUCAAAAUUCAAAUCUCUGAAAACUCCUUCACCUCAUCCAAGAAUUCAAAAUUUAAAACCCUCACUCUCUUCACAUCAAAAUCAACUCACAUAAUCCCCACUCUCUUCACACCCAUUCACAUCAUAAUCUCAUCUGGGUUUUGAGAUUAAAACAACAUGUACGGAAGAGAUCCGUGGGGCGGGCCGUUGGAGAUCAACAACACGAAUUCAGCCCCCGAUGACGACCGGAGCCGGAAUCUGAACGAUUUCGAUAAGGCAUGGCUGUCUCUUUGUAAGUACGAUCGUAACCCUAGCUUGCAUAUACACAUGUGACACCCCUCCCUAUAUAACGAACCACCUUCACAGACGAUUUCUGCAGUCAAGCCUCAAGAGGCACCAUAUCUCUAUGCUUCCAAAUCAUCAUAUUAACCCUUCUCCUCACAACCUCUGCAAAAUUUCUCUCAAAUUCUCAUCCUCAACUGCCAUUACAGCUAGAGCUGCACACUUUGUAGUUUUGGUUCAGGAAACGCGAGAAUAAGGCCUGAGAUGGAGGAAUUAUCAAGCAGGAGUAGAGAGGCAGGGUAGAAGCAUGGUGACUUAUGGUGUUAUGGCUAGAAGCCAAUAACUGUGUCAACAUCAGCCUCCGUAUUUAAAAGUUACAAAGAAGUUGGACUCAAUACUAUUGUUUUGGCUGGAGUUGAAUAUGAAAGUCAAAGUUCACGAGACUGGGCUGCUAGAGAUGGCAAACUCUUUGAUGCAUCACAGUAUGCUUUUUUCAGUCAAGAUAGUUUAGGCAAGGCUGAUUUUGGGUGUUUAGAAGGUGAAGAAGAUAAUUCACUAAAUGGACCUGGCGAUGAUGAAUCCCGUUUGUUUGAGAGAGGAGGUAUGUUUGUCUGUUGUGUACGUAAAUAAGAUUUAUCGAUGGUUGUUAUGCAUGUUAGUUGUCCUAUUUCCCUUUUUGCGAACUUAUGCUAUUUUUUAUACUAAUUUUGUGUAUAUUGUAUGCAUCUGAUAGAGAAACUUCUGGUUUUUAGUUGUGGUUUGAUGAUUGUUCUGCCAAACGGUUCAUUGUGUGUUUGAAACCACUGUCGGUUAAAACAUUGUUAGAGAAGAACUUCAUAGUUUGCACCUCUAUGACCAUCAGAUUGUAGUUUUGAAACACAAUGUGUGGCAUGUGAAGUGCCUCAAUUAGGUACAUUCUCGCUUUCGUUCAUCGUCUUAUUAUAGCUAUUUUUAGUAAAAAAAAAAUUAUUCUUCGAUUAGUUUUUUUUUAUUUGAUGGCCAUUGGGAUUAACAAACCUGUAUCCUUGGAAUAAUCUAUAUGAUUAUGUAGAAUGAUUAAUGUGGUUUUAUUAAUUAAAAAUAUACUUUGGCUGACUUUAAACCUUUGGACCCAUUUGACUACACCCCAUUAGGGACAUGUGGUUUGGAUAGUGACCUCUAUCCGCAUCAAUAACCGAAACUGGUAAUGGCGAUUUGGUGGCGGACAUCAGAGUUUGGUGAUGGUAGUCAUGACUCCGGCGGUUAUUGGGGUUUAAGUUUACUUAGUUCAAAGGCUUAGUGUCAACUACCGUGAAUUUGUAUCUGUACCGUCAGUUUAUAUGAAUUGGAGUUAAUUAUUGCUGCAUGAAUUUGUGUAUGCACCCUCUAACAAUGAAAGCAGAAUGCUGAGAAUGCUUCUUAAUAAUUGAAGCAUAAGCAUGGGUAAAGAUGGCCUUCCUAAUUCAGUGGGUGAUGUUCCAAAUCUAGGAUCAUCUAUGCCUAUUCUACCUUGCGGUGAUCCAGAUAUGUUACUUAAGGUGGCUUUUUUAUAUUAACAAUGUCUUUUUUAUUCUUUUUAAGGAUGUAACAAGACGACCGACUAUUAACUUUUUUUAUAUGGAUUAUUAUAUGUAGUUUUGUAUUCAUAUUUUUCGUAUCAAUAAUUUACGAAAGUAAAUAAAUAAACAAAAAGGGUUGAUGGGUUAAGCCCAACCAUAU
Helianthus annuus (common sunflower) is the source of this 2007-nucleotide long non-coding RNA. RefSeq lists it as uncharacterized. NCBI's taxonomy places the organism in Eukaryota, Viridiplantae, Streptophyta, Magnoliopsida, Asterales, Asteraceae. The transcript has 6 exons. The record is from RefSeq and is a predicted model, not a curated record.